Molecule: unclassified non-coding RNA, 339 nt
Filed under: soil metagenome
Description: partial contains 5.8S ribosomal RNA, internal transcribed spacer 2, and large subunit ribosomal RNA
Rfam family: 5.8S ribosomal RNA (bases 1-120)
Source: RNAcentral
GAUGAAGAACGCAGCGAAAUGCGAUAAGUAAUGUGAAUUGCAGAAUUCAGUGAAUCAUCGAAUCUUUGAACGCACAUUGCGCCCGCCAGUAUUCUGGCGGGCAUGCCUGUCCGAGCGUCAUUUCAACCAUCAAGCCCCCGGGCUUGUGUUGGGGACCUGCGGCUGCCCGCAGGCCCUGAAAACCAGUGGCGGGCUCGCUGUCACACCGAGCGUAGUAGCAAUCACCUCGCUCAGGGCGUGCUGCGGGUUCCGGCCGUUAAACAGCCUUACAAAACACAAGGUUGACCUCGGAUCAGGUAGGAAGACCCGCUGAACUUAAGCAUAUCAAUAAGCGGAGGA